UUGGACCUGAUAUCAGCAAUGUUUUAACACGG
This 32-nucleotide ribosomal RNA is filed under the name Phytophthora colocasiae. Its description in RNAcentral is "partial 28S ribosomal RNA". Lineage: Eukaryota; Oomycota; Peronosporomycetes; Peronosporales; Peronosporaceae. The record is from RNAcentral.